AUGGUUGCAAAGUGCAUGGCCAGGAAACAGCAGGACAACUGUUGCAGUGCAAGUGUGGGGCAGCUAUUCUACAUGGCCAUGAAGAAGGUGAAGAAAAGUGAUCCAGAACUAGUAGGGUCCAAGCAGCUGGCUGCAAAGACAAGAACCAGGGCAGUCAUUAUGCCUGGAAAGCUGGUGACACUUUCUCAGUUCAGUGGGGUAAGUGGGAGAGAUCAAGCAAGAACCAGAGCUUUGGUUUUGUGUCAAGAAGGUUCAGAAGACAACAGAUGCUUUCAAUGGGUUGCACAGAUUUUUGGAAUGUUAGCUAGAAAUAAGUUUUGCUAGUUAUUUGUGCCCUUUCAUGUAAAGUAUGCAAAAGCUGCAGGCUUCAGGAGGCUUCACCUGUGUUUUGGAGAGAGAGACAUGCCUUGCCCUCUGUUUGAGAACCUUCUUGUGAAGAUUUCCAAAGUCCAUACUUCCAUAAUUCUCCAAAGCUCAGUUCCAGUUAACAAAUUCAAAGCUUAUGAUAUAAAAAACUUGCACUAGAUUCCCAGGCAAAGGUUUCAGAAGACGGGAUUAAUCCUGAUAACAGGCUUUUGGAUUUUCCUUCAAAUUGCAGUUCUUUGGAUGGUCUCUGUGUAGAGGCCAAUCAUUGUUAGAGGCAUAGAACAAUUUACCCUAUGUCUCCUUCAAGCUUUCUGACCCAGUCAGUUCCUGCUCCUUCUGCUGUUUGUCCAGGUGUGCUCUCAAGUCCUUGACUGACUUUGGUGCAGUGGACAAAUUUUGCUGUCAAAGCAGCAGAAAGUAGGCACAGUUCUCCAACUUGGUAUUACAGAAAGAUUCUUUUGAGGACUCCAUUAUGUUAUGCAUGCUAGUCAGGUUGCAGAAAUAUUAUGGCCUCACAGAUUUUACAAACCUUGAAUGGACUGUGAAAAAUUCUUAAUGCAAAAGUAUACUUCAGUAUACUAUCAAAUCCCAUCGUCUUCAAAGAAGAUACUACACAGCGGGUAUAGAUGGUAUGGGUGUAUAAGAGGUGAGCUGGGAAUGUCAGUGAUCAGGAUCAUGAAGUCUGCAGUUGCAAAGGAAAGGAGGCAACAACGGAGGAGGCCCCAGGCCUGGAAAUGAGUGUUUGCAGGAAAAUGAAGAGUGAUUCAGUGGCCUUGAUGGCCAAUUAUGGAGCACAGGCUCUGUAACAGAUAUGGUUCUUUAAAGAAAAUGAUAAAGUCAGAAUCGUAGAAUAUCUGAGUUGGAAGGGGCCUUUAAAGAACAUCUAGUCCAGCUCUCCCCCUGCCAUGGUCAGGGACAUCUUUCAUUAGAUGAAGUUGCUCAAAGCCCCAUCCAGCCUGGCUUUGAACACUUCCAGGGAGGGGCAAUGAUCAGUUCUUCUUCUCUGCUCAGUCUUCUGUCAGUGCUCUGCUUUCCUAGUGCUUUUCUUAUAGAGAACAAUAAUACCAUUGCCUUUAUAAUUUCUUCAAUUAGAUUAAAACAUUGGAGUGAGUUCCAAGAUGCCACUGCACUUAAUCCUGAUUCUGAACCAUGGGAGGUGUCUUCCCUGAUCAUGGGUGUGACCUUUACUAAGUCUUUACUCCUUCCUUUCCAUUUUUGAUGCAAACCAUCUAUUGAGAAACAGGUUUCUGUUUGGUUUUGUGUUACCACUAUGUGUGUCCUUUGCUCCAGCUGAAUAGUGUAUUUUCAUGAUGGAUAUAGAUCCUUUACCUCUCUUGGAUUCCUUGACUGAGCACUUCUAUCACAAAGGCAUUCUCUGAGUCCAUUUACAGAAACAAACUGCAGAAGCUGUGCACAGCUUUGCUGUACUCUCUGUAUUUCAGAGACUUCUUCAGGUCUGUGACACCUCUGCAGCUGUCAGUCACUGCCUUCAAUACAUAUCCUUCAUAUGCAUGUUGCUGUGACCAAGAGCCAGGUUUGCCUAAGUCAAACAAGAAACAGAGAAUGCACCUGGGCAAACACUGUAGGAGGAGCACAGUGGGACAGGAUCAGAGAGCUCUCCCCAGCGCUGGUCUUGGUGGGCACAGGUCCUGUCAGAAAUCUGCCAGCAGCUGGCCCUCUCUGGCUACAGUUUAUUGUUUUUAUUGCUUUUAUUUUAUUGCACCUGGCUGGUGCUUUCUCUGGGAAAAUGACAGAUUUUAGGCAAAGGAGCAAUUUAAAAAUCUGUCUGCCAUUUUCAGUAACGUGACCUUCCUUCACAAGAAUGGGGAGAAUGUGUCUAUCAAAAUAAAAAGUGGCCGGUCUUCCUUGCCUGGCUGCCU
This is a long non-coding RNA of Anser cygnoides (Swan goose), 2246 nucleotides long. Lineage: Eukaryota; Metazoa; Chordata; Aves; Anseriformes; Anatidae. The record is from Ensembl.